RNAcentral lists this ribosomal RNA (465 nucleotides) under uncultured Klebsiella sp. Its description in RNAcentral is "bacterial SSU rRNA". It matches the Rfam family "Bacterial small subunit ribosomal RNA", at positions 338 to 795 of the family's 1533-position model. Lineage: Bacteria; Pseudomonadati; Pseudomonadota; Gammaproteobacteria; Enterobacterales; Enterobacteriaceae. The record is from RNAcentral.
CCUACGGGUGGCUGCAGUGGGGAAUAUUGCACAAUGGGCGCAAGCCUGAUGCAGCCAUGCCGCGUGUGUGAAGAAGGCCUUCGGGUUGUAAAGCACUUUCAGCGGGGAGGAAGGCGUUAAGGUUAAUAACCUUGUCGAUUGACGUUACCCGCAGAAGAAGCACCGGCUAACUCCGUGCCAGCAGCCGCGGUAAUACGGAGGGUGCAAGCGUUAAUCGGAAUUACUGGGCGUAAAGCGCACGCAGGCGGUCUGUCAAGUCGGAUGUGAAAUCCCCGAGCUCAACCUGGGAACUGCAUUCGAAACUGGCAGGCUAGAGUCUUGUAGAGGGGGGUAGAAGUCCAGGUGUAGCGGUGAAAUGCGUAGAGAUCUGGAGGAAUACCGGGGGCGAAGGCGGCCCCCUGGACAAAGACUGACGCUCAGGUGCGAAAGCGUGGGGAGCAAACAGGAUUAGAUACCCGAGUAGUC